This 764-nucleotide long non-coding RNA is filed under the name Cebus imitator (Panamanian white-faced capuchin). Its description in RNAcentral is "lncRNA (ENSCCAG00000038149.1)". Lineage: Eukaryota; Metazoa; Chordata; Mammalia; Primates; Cebidae. The record is from RNAcentral.
AAAAUGUCUUUUAUUGAACACAUAGCCUUGGUCAUAGCCUGUAAUCUGAAACAUGAACCAAUUUAUGGCUCAUAUACUACAGGGCAAGACUGCUCUCCCUUCAUGACUGGGCAGUGCAGAGCAGCAAUUUCUCAUCACAGUGGCCUGCCCCAGCAGUGACCCCUCUACCUUCCCCUGGAUUGAGAAAGCUAGUGCAUCCUGUGUCCAGACGAGCUGUCCAUAAGGUAAAAUCAAACAUUAAUCGUUUUCUCUUGAAUUCAUCCUUCUCACUAUUGACAUCUUUUCUUAAACAUAGACCUGAUGAAGCCACUCCUUUGCCAGAAAGCACCAGUGGCUGACUUUGACCACAAGACCAGGAUGACAAAUACUCAACAUGUGAGCGGUCACUCUGCUCUCACCUUCCAUGGCAUGCUCACCCUCUAAAGCUGCUGUCAGUCUUAGACACCUUCCCAUUCCAGCUUUCCAGAGAGGCCAGAAAUAUGUCAGCAGAGACAGCUGAACAAAAUCUGAAUGUCCGUCCAAGAGCUCCCUGCACAAAUGCCUUGCACGAAUACAAACAAGCCGAGGGAACUUCUCUAAGAAGAUGGCUCAAGAAUCCCACAACCAUGAUAUCUUCUGUCAGGGAAACUUCUCUUUGGCUGGAAGUAGUGGGCCAGAAGGACCAUUUGAACCAAGACUGACCUGUGGCCCCUGGAAACCCUAAGCAGCGGUUUGGCAUCUUGAGAAUCUGUCAUGCUUUGUGGAAGAGUCUAGUCCUGUCUGGA